RNAcentral lists this long non-coding RNA (484 nucleotides) under Lepisosteus oculatus (spotted gar). RNAcentral describes it as "lncRNA (ENSLOCG00000023085.1)". Lineage: Eukaryota; Metazoa; Chordata; Actinopteri; Semionotiformes; Lepisosteidae. The record is from RNAcentral.
AGAACCUCAACUUUAAUUACCACAUAAAACAAAGUGUUCCCUAGUGGAGGCUCAGAAAACUUUAAAUCAUUGGGAAUCAACAUAAAAACCAAAUUAUUGGAAUGGAGAAUCCUCGAAGGGCUGGGGCCAAUCCACAGGUCCAGCGAAGAAACAGUUUGUGCCCUGCAGCACAAACGUGUCCAGCAUGUCAAGCAUGUGCCUGUACAGCCCAGAGGAGAAACGCUCUGAAUCUGAGAGGACCGGUUCUGCGAGACCACAGAAGAAUGGCAGACCCCAUAUGGAACAGGAUUAUCUGUCUGGCUGGCACCCUGGAAAAGAAGUUACAUGUUCCACAUACCACUUCUCCAAUGGACACGGCUUCUCAAUUAAAAGAUCAGGAUUCUGGUGUAUGUGUGUGUACAGAUACUUAAGUAGACCUACCAUCAAUCGGUGUAGCGGCAGAAAAAAAACAGUAUGUGUAAGCGUUUGGUAAGAAUUCUAUAUC